UGUGACCCUCAGGAAAUGUCAGGUUUGGGAACUCUUUACUUCCAGGUGUCUCAGUGCUCUGACCACAGCAUUCCUCUCUGCGGGGGUGAUAAUAGUUAUAUCUCUGAGACUGGGGGUAGUAGUCAGUCAGAUGUAUGGGGAUGUGGUCGUGCAAUGUCUGU
Bufo bufo (common toad) is the source of this 161-nucleotide long non-coding RNA. RefSeq lists it as uncharacterized. The record is from RefSeq and is a predicted model, not a curated record. The transcript has 3 exons. NCBI's taxonomy places the organism in Eukaryota, Metazoa, Chordata, Amphibia, Anura, Bufonidae.